UAGUUGCUGUACGACUGGCGGAAAAUGCAGGAAGAUGUAAGAACCAUUCUCCUGUAUGUGGGAUUACCCACAGGGAGUACAGAUGUAUAGAUAAGCCGACCGCCUGGGCGACCAUU
Molecule: regulatory RNA element, 116 nt
Organism: Eubacterium sp. CAG:38
Lineage: Bacteria; Bacillati; Bacillota; Clostridia; Eubacteriales; Eubacteriaceae
Rfam family: ZMP/ZTP riboswitch aptamer (pfl RNA motif)
About the family: Previously known as pfl RNA. ZMP is also known as AICAR.
Source: Rfam